CCUACUGAGUUUAAGCAUAUCACGAAGCAGAGGAAAAGAAAUUAACAAGGAUUUCCCUAGUAGCAGCGUAGAAAUGAAAAGAGCCCAACUUGGAAAUUAGGGUAUCUUUACACCCCAAAUUGUAGUCUAGAGAAGGGUCCUCUACAGUAGACUAGGUUUAAGUAACUUGGAAUGGGAUGCUAGAGAGGGUGAAAGCCCUAUUUAGCCUAGACCUUGUUGCAUCACAAGGCUCUUUUGGUGAGUUGGGCUGUUUGAGAAUGUAGCCUUAAGUGUAGCACAUCUUAUUUCUCUC
Molecule: non-coding RNA, 292 nt
Filed under: Selaginella moellendorffii
Lineage: Eukaryota; Viridiplantae; Streptophyta; Lycopodiopsida; Selaginellales; Selaginellaceae
Description: rRNA LSU_rRNA_eukarya
Rfam family: Eukaryotic large subunit ribosomal RNA
Source: Rfam by way of RNAcentral